This is an RNA transcript of Cyprinus carpio (common carp), 2184 nucleotides long. It is a transcript of the gene named saxitoxin and tetrodotoxin-binding protein 1-like, with no coding region annotated. The transcript has 7 exons. Lineage: Eukaryota; Metazoa; Chordata; Actinopteri; Cypriniformes; Cyprinidae. The record is from RefSeq and is a predicted model, not a curated record.
AACUUGUUCCCCAGGCGAUGCAGCAUAAUUUUCUGAAAUCCUCUUCUGAAGCUCUGCAAUGUCUACUUCUGUGGUCUUGGCUGCUCUUCUGGGCCUGUUUAGUUUAAAUCAGGCAUCUCUGCCAGACUGUAAGGAGCUCAUAACACCACGAACCCUGGAGGAUGACAAUAAAAGUAUCAUGGGUAAAUGGAUCUUCCUUGAAGGCAUAGCUGAUCACCACUUAUUUACAGAUAUCUUGAAGACUGUGAACAGCUCAUGGAUGGAGUUUGGCCCAAGCACUCUUGCAAAAACUUUAACCCUCAGUCAAGGGGAUAUGCUAAAUGGAAAGUGUAGAUUUUGCACCAUUAACACAACUGUUAAAGAUAGUAUUUUUUAUGCCAGUGGAAAUGACGUAGUUUCAGAGGCCAAGUUCUUGCCAUCCUGUCCUGACUGUCUCACCAUGAACUUCAUCAGCCAAUUAAAAAAUGAGACCAUAUAUUCUUUAUACUUAUUCAAGAGAGAGAGCAACCGAACCGAGUCUGACAUGGACACCUACUGGAAGCAAGCUGAGUGUCUUGGAUUUAAAAGAGAAACCCAGUACUCCUAUGAUGGAGUAACAGAACUCUGUCAUGUGGUCAAGGACAACUCAUCUGACCAGAAGCCAAGUUUGGACAAAUCAGAUCAAUAAUUAAAUUAGAUUAGAUUCAACUUUAUUGUCAAUGCACCUGUAAAGUACAAGGCAACGAAAUGCAGUUAGCAUCUAACAAGAAGUGCAAUAAGCAGUAAGUACAGGAUAUACAGUGUCUACAAUAUGUUACAAAUGUACAAUAAAUAUUCAGAUAAGGCAGUACUAUGGACAUAAUUUACAGAUUUUUAAAUACUAUCGGCAUGAUAUACGGAUAGGUGUACUAUGAACAUACUAUACAGAUGGAUUAUGUAAUAAGUGUAUGUACACUAUAAGCAGAAACUAUGAACCUCAUUUACAAAUGAAUAUGUUAGCGAUACAUUAAACUGUACAAAACACUAGUGCAAUGGACAUUUAAAAAAAGUGCAUUAUCAGAAAACAAAUGAUUAUUAAUGUGUCUGUGUGGGUAAGUUCAGUAUCUUUUGGGUUUGUCCUCAUUUCUAAAGGCUAAAGGUUAUUCUGACAGGUGUUUUCCAGUUGCCCAAAGUCCAGAGAUUUACACACUCAAUUCAAUCCAGUUAACUAGAAUUCUCAGAACCUGUUGCAUCACUUCAGGGAGAGAGAAAAAAACAGUACUGUGUAUCUGGACUAUUUAGGGUACUUGAUCCACACACAGCAUGAUUUUCUGAAAUCCUCUUCUGAAGUUCUACAAUGUCUACGAACAUCAGUGGUUUUUUAAAUGCUCUGGGCCUGUUUAAUUUGAGUCAGGCAUCUCUGCCAGACUGUAAGGAGCUCAUAACACAGCUAACCCUGGAGGAUGACAAUAAAAGUGCAAGUCUGCCAGACUACAAAGAGCUCGUAACACUAAUAAACCUGGAAGAUAAAAGUGUAAAUACUGUGACGAGUCAGCUGCCUCCCCCCUAAUUAUUAUCGUGACCCCGUCCCAAAUCGCUGCCCACCAGGCUCCCGACAGGAGUGGGUGUGUGAUAGAGGAGGGGCGCUGGAAGAGCCAGGGCUGGCGGCGUGUGAUGGGGCACACCUGAUGCAAAUGGAGCUUCAUCACCGCCGCUCUUUAAAUGCCGAGCGCGCCUCUCCUCAGAGACCGGUCUCUUCCUCGUUCAUGCACGCUGGUGUCUUCGUGGGUCCAGGAAGGGUGCGUAGAGGGACUCCCGCGCCGCCAGAGACGUGAGCUGCCGGACCCGCGGUCCGGACGAGAACCGCGCCCGUUUCACGGCCGUCGGGGCAGGAUGCCGGGCUGUCUAGUCCCUUUAAGCGCCGAUGCAGCCGCUGGAAGAAGCCGACGCCCCUCGCGCGCCGGACAGAAGAGGGGCGCGCGUGCGGCAGCCGGACUCCGCCCCUUACCUGGACCCUUCCCUCCUAAACACUACCUGUCCGUCACAUGCCCCGCAGCACGACGAGGACACCAGAUUCCCUGUUUAUUUUGGACACUCUUCCCCUUUGGACACUUAUUUCCCUUUUAUUCCCUAUUUGUUCUGUUAAUAAAAGCCUCUCCGAGUGCUGACGCCACACCCACUGUCCGUUUGCUCCUCCCGCCACAAUAUACUUUUCAGGAUAUUAAA